ACGGAAGGCAGCAGUGUGGAAUAUUGGUCAAUGGGCGGAAGCCUGAACCAGCCAUGCCGCGUGCAGGACUACGGCCCUACGGGUCUUAAACUUCUUUUGCAAGGGGAUAAAGUGGGGCACGCGUGCCCCUUUGCAGGUACCUUGCGAAUAAGGAUCGGCUAACUCCGUGCCAGCAGCCGCGGUAAUACGGAGGAUUCGAGCGUUAUCCGGAUUUAUUGGGUUUAAAGGGUGCGUAGGCGGGCUGUUAAGUCAGCGGUGAAACCCCCGGGCUCAACCCGGGGACUGCCAUUGAAACUGGCGGCCUUGAGUACGUUGGGAGUGCGCGGAAUGUGUGGUGUAGCGGUGAAAUGCAUAGAUAUCACACAGAACACCGAUCGCGUAGGCAGCGCACUACGCCGCAACUGACGCUGAGGCACGAAGGCGCGGGGAUCGAACAGGAUUAGAUACCCUGGUA
This 454-nucleotide ribosomal RNA is filed under the name uncultured Porphyromonadaceae bacterium. RNAcentral's name for it is "partial 16S ribosomal RNA". It matches the Rfam family "Bacterial small subunit ribosomal RNA", at positions 341 to 792 of the family's 1533-position model. Lineage: Bacteria; Pseudomonadati; Bacteroidota; Bacteroidia; Bacteroidales; Porphyromonadaceae. The record is from RNAcentral.